AUGGAUCCGGACAAGAAGAAGAUGUUCGAAGUGAUAAUAAAGAAGAUUCAGCAACAAUCAAGUGCGCUGGAAGAAGCCAUGAAGGCUCAGAAGCCAAAGGUCGACUGCUCAAUGAGUCGAGAGAUGUGCUCUCCGAGUGGCUUGAUCAUAAUCAUGGAAAGGAUGUGAGGGAUCAUAGUGUGUUUGAUGAUCUCGCGAAGACCUACGAAAAGGAGUUCCUAGCCGAUAUGGCUCGUCUCAACGUUCUCCCGGUCGACGUGCUCACCAGAGUCUCCGCUCAAGACUCGAUUGCCACUGAAGAAGCCAAAGGCCGUCUGCUCAAUGAGUCGAGAGAUGUGCUCUCCGAGUGGCUUGAUCAUAAUCAUGGAAAGGAUGCGAGGGAUCAUAGUGUGUUUGAUGAUCUCGCGAAACGUAGGAUUUUCUACUUGGCCGGUCCAUUUUUACAGUCUCAAUGGCACCUUGAGUGCUCUGUAAUAUCCUCUAGUGCAGUCCCGGCAGCUCGAAAUAUCGUGUGGAACGACCAUCUGCGAAUUCGAAGAGAUGCUGCUGUUGCUGCUGCUGCUGCUGUCAACAACACAGCUGGACUUGCUGAUAUGGACCAAGGGACCAGGAUCGAGUUACCAAAAUCAAAGCAUCAAUGGUUAGAUGUAUUCAGACGAUAGAU
RNA transcript from Caenorhabditis elegans, 664 nucleotides. It is a transcript of the gene named Non-coding transcript of protein-coding gene Y23H5A.8b, with no coding region annotated. Lineage: Eukaryota; Metazoa; Nematoda; Chromadorea; Rhabditida; Rhabditidae. The record is from RefSeq and is marked reviewed. The transcript has 4 exons.